UACGUUCCCGGGCCUUGUACACACCGCCCGUCAAGCCAUGGAAGCUGGGGGUGCCUGAAGUCGGUGACCGCAAGGAGCUGCCUAAGGGUAAAACUAGUAACUAGGGCU
RNAcentral lists this ribosomal RNA (108 nucleotides) under uncultured bacterium. RNAcentral's name for it is "partial 16S ribosomal RNA". It matches the Rfam family "Bacterial small subunit ribosomal RNA", at positions 1367 to 1482 of the family's 1533-position model. The record is from RNAcentral.